RNAcentral lists this ribosomal RNA (500 nucleotides) under uncultured bacterium. Its description in RNAcentral is "bacterial SSU rRNA". It matches the Rfam family "Bacterial small subunit ribosomal RNA", at positions 28 to 507 of the family's 1533-position model. The record is from RNAcentral.
GACGAACGCUGGCGGCGUGCCUAAUACAUGCAAGUCGAGCGGAAUGAUGAAGAAGCUUGCUUCUUCUGAUUUUAGCGGCGGACGGGUGAGUAACACGUGGGCAACCUACCUUGUAGAUUGGGAUAACUCCGGGAAACCGGGGCUAAUACCGAAUAAUCCAUUUCGCUUCAUGGCGAGAUGUUGAAAGACGGUUUCGGCUGUCACUACGAGAUGGGCCCGCGGCGCAUUAGCUAGUUGGUAGGGUAAUGGCCUACCAAGGCGACGAUGCGUAGCCGACCUGAGAGGGUGAUCGGCCACACUGGGACUGAGACACGGCCCAGACUCCUACGGGAGGCAGCAGUAGGGAAUCUUCCACAAUGGACGAAAGUCUGAUGGAGCAACGCCGCGUGAGUGAAGAAGGUUUUCGGAUCGUAAAACUCUGUUGUAAGGGAAGAACACGUACGAGAGUAACUGCUCGUACCUUGACGGUACCUUAUUAGAAAGCCACGGCUAACUACGUG